GAUAAACGCUAGCGGCAGGCUUAACACAUGCAAGUCGAGGGGCAGCAUAGACUGUAGCAAUACAAUUGGUGGCGACCGGCGCACGGGUGCGUAACGCGUAUGCAACCUACCCGUCACAGGGGGAUCAUCCGGAGAAAUCUGGUCUAAUACCCCAUAACAUAUGGAUCGGCAUCGGUUCAUGUUGAAAUUUUCGGAGGUGACGGAUGGGCAUGCGUAGCAUUAGCUUGUUGGUGAGGUAACGGCUCACCAAGGCGACGACGUUUAGGGGGACUGAGAGGUGUUCCCCCCACACGGGUACUGAGACACGGACCAGACUCCUACGGGUGGCAGCAGUGAGGAAUAUUGGUCAAUGGGCGCAAGCCUGAACCAGCCAUGCCGCGUGCAGGAUGACGGCUCUAUGAGUUGUAAACUGCUUUUGUACGAGGGUAAAGUGGGUUACGUGUAACCUUUUGAAAGUAUCGUACGAAUAAGGAUCGGCUAACUCCGUGCCAGCCGCCGCAGUAA
Molecule: ribosomal RNA, 504 nt
Filed under: uncultured bacterium
Lineage: Bacteria
Description: partial 16S ribosomal RNA
Rfam family: Bacterial small subunit ribosomal RNA
Source: RNAcentral